Rattus norvegicus (Norway rat) is the source of this 1379-nucleotide non-coding RNA. The record is from RefSeq and is a predicted model, not a curated record. NCBI's taxonomy places the organism in Eukaryota, Metazoa, Chordata, Mammalia, Rodentia, Muridae.
AGCUGUGACAGACCACCGCCCGAGAUCCUCCUAGCUCUGCUGGGCCAAGCCUGGGCUGCAGCUCAGCGAGGAGAGAGUUAGCGGGCACCUGCCCCGCGCUCCCCCAUUGGCCACAGCUCACCUGCCCCAAGGGGCCCGGUUCUUACUGUCCGAGGAGGAGCACAGAGCCCAUCGCCACGCAGCUCUCCCGCAGCAGCUCGCAGCGUCCCAAUGCAGCGGAGCCCACAACGCAGCGACUAUCUCCCACCGGACCUCGGGGCUUAAGCUCAAAGUGAUUUCCUUUCCUCCGGCUCCAAUAGUAGACGACAAGGCCAAAAUGAGGUCUCUGGGUCACUAUAUUCUAAAUUGGAGCUGGUCUUGCUGUCUGCGUGGUUCUCCAGGGAACAGGCCAGUGGUCCCUGGGUGGCACUGGCAACCUAGCCUCUUGGACAUGCGACCUGCGACCUGUGACUUGCGACCGCGGGGCAGUGUCCCAAUCUGUUCAAGUUAGUUUCCAUAGCAGGCGUUAAGCCCGGAGUACAAGAGGGCAGUUGACCAUUAGAACCUGUACUCGGUAGUCUAUCCACCCCAAUCUUCCAGGGUGCUGUGGCUCCUUUAGGGCUCUUGAUUUGGGGCUCCGGACCCAGUCAGUUCUUGCUCGCAUGUGGAGGGAAGGAUGGGGGAGGGAGGCGAAGAAAAUUCUGCUUUCUAGUCGCUGCCCUGGGGAGUCCAACUGGCCACCGCACAACCCAAGUGCUCACCUCCUAGCUGGGCCUCCAGAACCCCAAAGGGCAGUGGGGUCUACAUCUCCCUACAACUAUGGGGACUCCAGGCCAGGUCUUGCAGCGGCCCGCCGGAAUGCCAGGAGCCUUGGUCCGGAGAAGCGCUCGGGGCGCCCUCACAGCUACAAAGCGGGUUAAAGUCUAUUUUCCACUCGACUGCUCCGAAAAGCCCCCGCAAGCCUGUACCAUUCCGGCCCCCUUGGGCGAGGUGGGGAGGAGGCGGCGAGAGGGGACUGAAAAGGGACCGCACCUUGCAGCCCUUCCCGUCCUGGAUGACCCAGGGCCAGACCCUUGGAUUUCCUACUCUAUCAGAUUCAAGCUAUGCACCCUGUCUCUCCCUGCCUUCUCCUAAUCUCUGCUGCUUCCUAUGAUGCUUUCUCGACCCCCGAACCCGGUACCUGUCUCAGACUGUCCCUUUUCACCUCCCGCUUCCUCUGUCCACAUAAGGACCAAUCUUCCCCUCUUUUCCUUUGCCAUAUCCUGGGUGGCGGCGCACGCACGCGCGGGGCGGUGAGUGUGUGUGUAAAGUGGCAGAGGUGAGGAUCUGGAAGAUGGUCUCCUUGGAGCAGGGUCUGAGCAGGAAUGCAAGUUACACUGAAUAAAAUUGUCUAGAUUUAA